UGAUGCCUACGGGGGGCAACAGUGAGGUAUAUUGGUCAAUGGGAGGAAUCCUGAACCAGCCAUGCCGCGUGCAGGACGACGGCUCUACGAGUUGUAAACUGCUUUUGUACCGGGGUAAAAUGCCUUACGAGUAGGGUUUUGAAAGUACGGUACGAAUAAGGAUCGGCUAACUCCGUGCCAGCAGCCGCGGUAAUACGGAGGAUGCGAGCGUUAUCCGGAUUUAUUGGGUUUAAAGGGUGCGUAGGCGGUAUUUUAAGUUAGUGGUAAAACGUCGGGGCUUCACCUU
This 286-nucleotide ribosomal RNA is filed under the name uncultured bacterium. RNAcentral's name for it is "partial 16S ribosomal RNA". It matches the Rfam family "Bacterial small subunit ribosomal RNA", at positions 333 to 616 of the family's 1533-position model. The record is from RNAcentral.